UGGGGAAUAUUGCACAAUGGGCGGAAGCCUGAUGCAGCAACGCCGCGUGAGGGAUGACGGCCUUCGGGUUGUAAACCUCUUUUUAGCAGGGAAGAAGCGAGAGUGACGGUACCUGCAGAAAAAGCGCCGGCUAACUACGUGCCAGCAGCCGCGGUAAUACGUAGGGCGCAAGCGUUAUCCGGAAUUAUUGGGCGUAAAGAGCUCGUAGGCGGUUUGUCGCGUCUGCUGUGAAAUCCCGAGGCUCAACCUCGGGCCUGCAGUGGGUACGGGCAGACUAGAGUGCGGUAGGGGAGAUUGGAAUUCCUGGUGUAGCGGUGGAAUGCGCAGAUAUCAGGAGGAACACCGAUGGCGAAGGCAGA
RNAcentral lists this ribosomal RNA (359 nucleotides) under uncultured bacterium. Its description in RNAcentral is "bacterial SSU rRNA". It matches the Rfam family "Bacterial small subunit ribosomal RNA", at positions 355 to 725 of the family's 1533-position model. The record is from RNAcentral.